Molecule: ribosomal RNA, 255 nt
Filed under: uncultured bacterium
Lineage: Bacteria
Description: partial 16S ribosomal RNA
Rfam family: Bacterial small subunit ribosomal RNA
Source: RNAcentral
UACGUAGGACCCAAGCGUUAUCCGGAGUGACUGGGCGUAAAGAGUUGCGUAGGCGGUUUAUUAAGCAGAUAGUGAAAUCAGGUGGCUCAACCAUUCUGACUAUUACCUGAACUGAUAAACUCGAGAAUGGUAGAGGUAGCUGGAAUUUCUAGUGUAGGGGUAAUAUCCGUAGAUAUUAGAAGGAACACCAAUGGCGUAGGCAGGCUACUGGACCAUUUCUGACGCUGAGGCACGAAAGCGUGGGGAGCGAACCGG